CUGUGGUGAAGAAGAGAGACGUGACUCUGAGAGGCCUCAUUGAAUACAUGGGAGAGAGUGGGCAAGAGCUAAUCUCUGACUACUAUGGAAAAACGGAGAGCAGUGUCCAUGAGGACUUGAAAAUAUGCAGAUAUAUGUCUGCCGUGAACCAGAUGCAGUGGGCAUCAUCUUUGAGGGAAUCCCAGUGCUUACUGAUCUUGGAAAUCUGGCCAGGGCGUGUUGCCUGCUUCUGGGGAUGACAUGCUCUGAACCUGCAGUAUCCACCACAACUCUGCAAAACAUUUGAGGUGUUCCAAAGACUUUUUGUGGGACUUGACACACUGCGCCCAAA
Long non-coding RNA from Labeo rohita (rohu), 331 nucleotides. RefSeq lists it as uncharacterized. The transcript is spliced from 2 exons. NCBI's taxonomy places the organism in Eukaryota, Metazoa, Chordata, Actinopteri, Cypriniformes, Cyprinidae. The record is from RefSeq and is a predicted model, not a curated record.